RNAcentral lists this ribosomal RNA (304 nucleotides) under uncultured bacterium. RNAcentral's name for it is "partial 16S ribosomal RNA". It matches the Rfam family "Bacterial small subunit ribosomal RNA", at positions 506 to 807 of the family's 1533-position model. The record is from RNAcentral.
CAGCAGCCGCCGCGGUAAUACGAGGGGGGCAAGCGUUGUUCGGAAUUAUUGGGCGUAAAGGGUGCGUAGGCGGUUUCGUAAGUCUUAUGUGAAAUCUCUGGGCUCAACCCAGAGUCUGCAUGGGAAACUGCGAGGCUUGAGGAUGGGAGAGGUGAGUGGAAUUUCCGGUGUAGCGGUGAAAUGCGUAGAUAUCGGAAGGAACACCUGUGGCGAAAGCGGCUCACUGGACCAUUUCUGACGCUGAUGCACGAAAGCGUGGGGAGCAAACAGGAUUAGAUACCCGUGUAGUCCCUGUCUCUUAUAC